This is a long non-coding RNA of Podarcis raffonei (Aeolian wall lizard), 238 nucleotides long. RefSeq lists it as uncharacterized. Lineage: Eukaryota; Metazoa; Chordata; Lepidosauria; Squamata; Lacertidae. The record is from RefSeq and is a predicted model, not a curated record. The transcript is spliced from 2 exons.
UCACACAGCCCUAACUCUGCUUCUGACAGCUCUGGGGGCAACCAGGAGCCCACAACACACAGGAGUAGCAUGGGGGCAUCACCUCAUGGGGGCACCCAGGCAACUCUGCAGCAUCAGGCUAUAUGGUUCCAGCACUAAAGCGAUGUAUUGAUGCUGACGGCUAUUGUGCUAUUGACUUAUGUCAUCCAGGUGAUACAUUUAUUCAGCGAUGCUACAGAAGGAGGCCUUGCUGUCGAAG